This 301-nucleotide ribosomal RNA is filed under the name uncultured bacterium. RNAcentral describes it as "partial 16S ribosomal RNA". It matches the Rfam family "Bacterial small subunit ribosomal RNA", at positions 509 to 807 of the family's 1533-position model. The record is from RNAcentral.
CAGCCGCCACGGGAAUCCGUAGGGGGCAAGCGUUAUCCGGAAUUACUGGGUGUAAAGGGAGCGUAGACGGUUAAACAAGUCUGAAGUGAAAUGCCGGGGCUCAACCCCGGAGCUGCUUUGGGAACUGUAGAACUGGAGUGUCGGAGGGGUAAGCGGAAUUCCCAGUGUAGCGGUGAAAUGCGUAGAUAUUGGGAGGAACACCGGCGGCGAAGGCGGCUUACUGGACGACAACUGACGUUGAGGCUCGAAGGCGUGGGUAGCAAACAGGAUUAGAUACCCGUGUAGUCCCUGUCUCUUAUAC